UGUUAUCUACUGCGUCACCUGCUCUCGUCUUCUUUAUUCCUGUCCAUACCUUUUUCCCCUUGAAAACAUUGUUAGUAUUGUUGUUUGAAAGCUUUUCUUCACAUAGGUGCUGAAUCUAGGAUCAUCAUUUUUUUUAAUAAUCAAGAUCAAAGACAGCAGAGCCAGUACUGGGCACCGUACUGGUUGUCCGGCAGAACGAG
Molecule: long non-coding RNA, 200 nt
Filed under: Phoenix dactylifera (date palm)
Lineage: Eukaryota; Viridiplantae; Streptophyta; Magnoliopsida; Arecales; Arecaceae
Description: long non-coding RNA (PDAC_LNC017574)
Source: RNAcentral